AGCAGUUACAAAUAAGUCUCAUUAGAUCAAUAGUAUUUAAUUAUUAUUAGAAAAUAUAUUUCGAGUAAUAAACGUGUUAUGCUCUACACUGCCAGCCACUUCAAUGUGAACCCAGAAAGUUUCUUCCUUGUUUCCUGCAAUGAAUGUCACAACUGGAUUUUAUUUUUGCUGUUGUCAAAAUGAUCUCAAAAGUAACUUAUAUUUUUGUUCCCAGAGGCCAGAACUUUUACAGAAAAAAAAAGAUAAUCUUUUAGAAUUACUUUGCGGUCAUUUUCUUUUAAAUGUAAAACCCAAUUGUGACAUUCAUUGUAGAACAAGGUGGUAUUUCACAAUUUUCUCCUAAAACAAUAUUUUAAGAAGAAAAAGUUUUACCAAAGUAAAUGAGUAGAGCAUAAUAUGUAUUUCGAUACUGUACAUGUAAUACAAAUUAAUACCAUGGUAGAGACAAGGGGGCAUGUACAUAGACGAAUGUCAGUUCCAACAAGUAAAUCAAAAGGUUUCUUUCGUAAUCCAAUUCCUAAGUGUCUUUGCGAACUAAUCAUAUGUUUUUGAUUAUCAACUUAAAAAAUGUCAACAUCUAAAUGAGCUCCCCACCUUAUAAUGCCUCCAACACUGUUUAAGCAAGAAUACACCUACUGUGCUCAAUAUAACCAGCGCUCCUCCCUUAUAGUCCUUCCCCUUCUCUUCCAAUCAUCUCCUUUCACCCAAAGGAGACAAUUUGACCAUGGAGAUAGAACAAAUUUCCAGUUGUCAUUACCCCCCAGGUUUCAGAUUCCACCCCUCAGAUGAAGAGCUGAUCGUUCACUACUUGCUGAAAAAACUCAGUUCGUGUCCGCUGCCAGCCGAUGUAGUUGCUGAAAUAGAACUUUACAACUACAACCCAUGGGAGCUUCCCAGUUAGUUAUCUAUUAUCUAUAAGCUUAUUUAGAUGGUAUUACUUUUAUUUUCUUCCUCUUAUGAUUAUUAUUAUUUCUGAAUUUCAGACAAGUCAUUGUUCGGAGAAGAUGAGUGGUAUUUCUUCACCCCGAGGGACCGAAAGUACCCGAAUGGAGAGAGGCCUAAUAGGACAGCAUCUUCAGGUUAUUGGAAGGCAACUGGGACAGACAAGCCUAUACUCAGUGCUUCUGGAUCAAGAAGCAUUGGAGUGAAGAAGGCUCUCGUUUUUUACAAGGGUCGUCCUCCGAAGGGCUUAAAGACGGAUUGGAUCAUGACAGAGUACAGAUUGCCUGACACCAUGACUCGAUCGGCGAGGUCAAAAGGGUCCAUGAGGGUAAGUAUGUGCCUUGAUGUUUGUUCAUUAUAAACUGUUUCUCAUUAAGAGGAACAGAAAGUAAAGAUUUUUUUUAGGCUAACUAAAUAACUUGUGUUAUUGGAACACAGAUCAUUCCUGAAACAAAUGUUACUUCUAUAUCGAAACAUGUUAAAACCAACUUAACAAUAUAAGAUUUGUCAAUGAACCUAGUUAUACUGAAGGCACUAUGUAAGAAUAGAAUAAGCUUUUGAUCAGUAUGUUCUUGUUUUUUAUAAUCUUUCAACCCCAUAUGAUGCUCCCUCAAUUCUUUUCGACAAACGCCGUAUCAUCAUUGAAGAUUUGAAAAUUAUCUUCUACUUGUUUUUGUGCAACAAAAGUUUACACAUCUACAUAGGUUAACAGAUAAUAUAUAUGAUCUGCAACAAAAGUUACUUCUAUAUCGAAUCAUGUUAGACCAACUCAACAACAUAAGAUUUGUCAAUUAACCUAGUUAUACUGAAGGCACUAUGUGAAUAGAAUAAGCUUUUGAUCAAUAUGUUCUUGUUUUUCUUAAUCUUUCAACCCCAUAUGAUGCUCCCUCAAUCGUUUUCAACAAACACCGUAUCAUCAUUGAAGAUUUGAAAAUUAUCUUCUACUUGGUUUUGUGCAACAAAAGUUUACACAUCUACAUAGGUUAACAGAUAAUAUAUCCUGCCAUGGAGGAUGAAAAACACUUGAACCAUAUAUCUAUUUAGGGUUAGUCUAGAUUCUAGGGUGCCACCCUUCUCACCUCCCUUGAAGCUGUGAAACGUCACUAGUUCACAAACCAACGAUCUCACCAAUUGAACAAAAAGAUAAUCAGAUGCCAAAAUAAUACUCCCUUGGUCCAGAAUACAGAUAUGAGAGUCUCACUUGACUUUACUUCUUUUUAUGGAUAUUUAGGUUGCCUAGAACACACUUGGACAUGAUUUUCUUGGAAUGUUUUCUAUAUAUGUAUAUAUUAAAUUUGAAGAUUAGAAAGGGAAAAAAUAUAUGAAAUGGGAACUAAUUUCCGGAGGAAGUAUAGCACAUGAUAAUCACUUCCCCUCAUAGAGGUAGUAAACUGAUUAUACCUUCCCCAAAGCCGGAGACUUGCAACCUCCUAAAAGUCUGUACUUCAAGUCUUCAACUAAGUUUCACAAGAAGAAGAUUAUGUCAUCAUGUAUCCCCCUAAAGUAAUCAAUUGAUAAGAUCAAUCUUGACUACUAACAUCUGCAUCAUCAUCUUCUUCUUCAACAUCACACUAAUUAUUAAGCACUAAACAUAAAAUAACUGAUUCCAAUAAAGUAAUCGAUCAAUAAAAUCAAUCUUCAUUCCUAAAUAAUUCUCUGUUUGUUUGUCGCAGUUAGACAAUUGGGUACUUUGUCGCAUACGUCAAAAAGGCAACAUGUCAAAGAAUAAUUGGGCAGGCGAUGAAAGCCCCAGCAGAUCGGUAAAUUUUUUACCAAAAAUUGAGGAGCUCCCUUCAGCAUACACUAAAACCAACACAGAGAUCAUGUCAAAGAAUAAUUGGGCAGGCGAUGAAAGCCCCAGCAGAUCAGUAAUUUUUUUACCAAAAAUCGAGGAGCUCCCUUCAGCAUACACAAAAUCCAACACAGAGAUCACUACAGAUUACCUAUUGAAGGAUUGCCAUAUAUUGGCAUCCAUGCUAGCUUGUCAAGAUCUUCCUCCAAUCGAAAACAUUUCCAAUGCAACCUUUCCACGAAGAAACUACAGCAACAACUCAGGGUCAGGUCUUUAUGAUCAUACUUCAGGCAAGGAGAAUUCUUUCAUGACAAGUUCUUUCUAUGAGAGUUUCUUCAACCCAACCAAGGCAAGACUUAACGAGGGAAAUAGGUUUGAUAAUCUCAUUGGUUCUAAUAAGAUGGUGACAGAUAUAAACGGAAAUGAGGUUCUUAUCCCAGGAAACAUGAUGACCACUACCGCAAUGAACUUCUAUAAUCAAAAUCAGGCUCAAGGAAACAUAUUUAAUCCUAGUCAAUCGGAUGUCAUCAUGAAUUUAAUCCUGUCUCAAGAAGAUUUCUGAACCAAUGGAACAACCUCUUAAAGAAGACUUGGCUUCACAAAAGAGCAGACAAGACAUCCAAGUUGAAGUUUGUUUAAGAUACUUUUUAAGACGUGCAGAAAUGGUUCUUGCUCCACCAGACUAAAAACCACUAAUAUUCUGCAUUACAUUUACUUUUGUCAUCCUUUAAAGUCGCUUGAUGUUUCAUGAAUCCUUACAUUCUUGUUUUAUGUGUGAGAACUUAUAUCUAUGAAUAAUGUCUUAUAUUGUGUGCUAAAUUAAGUUUGCAACUCUGAAAUUUUGAGAACAAAUGUUUCUGCACCCAGUAAUGAGUAAUAACAUCUGAAAGUCUAUUCCAUGUUCUUUUCAAUCAUGUAAAUUUCCUUCCUGAAUAUAUGUUUCAUAUUCCUAACAUUUAAAGGUUAGUGAGAGGAACUCUGUCAGUCACUAGUUCACUACUCGUGAUACCUAAACACGCCAAAUGUAUGGUAAAGUAAACCAGAAGUAGUCAAGUAGAGAAGCCACUCCCAAUUGUUGCGGGAUGACAAACCCGAGAAAACCACUACACAAACAAGUUUGUACUAAAUACAUAGACUACUACAAUUUCCUGUAAACGCAAUAAGCCCAUCGUGUGUUUUAACCAGUUGUUAAAGAACAAAUUAGGACAAGGACAACACACAUAGUAAAAUCAGUUCAAGCCUAAGAGAUUAAUUUGUCCAUUGUCAUUGCCUAUAAAACACCGAAUAAUUGAUUUUAUUUUCAAAUAAUAUAUUUUAUGUUCAUAAAUUGAUUGAUUCUGACUUUCUCAUAAAAUAAAUUUUCUUACUUUCACACUAAUACUGAAAGGGCAAAUCCCAAAACUAUAUCCUCCAGUAUAAACUCAGCCAUCUGCAUCCCUAGGCCUUAAGAUUUAAAUAGGCAAAACAGUAAAUUAAAGAAUAAUCUAACACUAUUAAACAAAUAUUUCAGCUAUAAGUAUUUUAAUCCUUCAAUGAUUACUACUCAAUAAAUUAUUAAAAGCAUAACAUAACUCCAAUUUCCAUAGUAAACUCAGCUAAUUGUCGGUAUUACUAAAAAAAUCAACAUAUUUUAAUCACCCUGCUACUAAAAUUUACCUGAGCUUCCAUUCUCUGUUCAAUCCACCAUUUUCGGAAAAAAUGAUCCCAAAUUCACUUCUAAACCACCGGAAUUUCUUCUCCGAUUCGUUUUCUCCAUUGAUGCAUGUCUUUCGCUUAUUAUUCACAUUUCUUUUCCUUUUUCGUUGAUUCUUCAGGGUUUGUUCGUCUUGAAUAAGCUCCGAUUGUUCAUUCCUAUCAUUCACCGAUAACAGAAGUACGAUUGCAGCGAUUGCUUAAGUACAACGUUGGAUCUAAUUUUCCUCUCCUCUCUCGUUUUGUUUCUUAUUUUCCUAAAUAUUUCUUCCAAAUUUAGCUUCACAUAUAAAGAUUUGGCAUUGCUCAAUUAUCAGUUUUUAUUUACUCAGUCGCACAGAAAUAGUCACAUUUAC
RNAcentral lists this long non-coding RNA (4782 nucleotides) under Panax ginseng (ginseng). Its description in RNAcentral is "long non-coding RNA (PGIN_LNC016380)". The record is from RNAcentral. Lineage: Eukaryota; Viridiplantae; Streptophyta; Magnoliopsida; Apiales; Araliaceae.